GUCAGCUGGACCCUCAAGCCCGCCUCUCUCCUUUCGCCACGGCUUCAACGGAUGUCUGCUGUGAACAGAACUGGUGAUAGAAUCAUCUGAAAGGACUGCGCCAGGCUGAAACGCUGACCCCGCUCAUUAAGGUGAUGACACUAGGCAGCAAGAGUCUCCCUUCCAGGAGGGCCUGUUGGAGCCUCUGCCCCGUCUUCUACCUCAGAAUCCUACUUUGCCUUCUGGCGUGGACUCAGACACAGGUGCCAAGGAACGGUCUACCUGCAGAGAGCUGCGUCCCGAGGACUACAGGGCUCACUUCUUUGGCUCAGUGGAGCCUGUGAUGUGCGUUGAUGGUACCCUGGAGCUGGUUCCCCAGAAGGGCUGUUCCUGAGCCUCCCUGGAGAUCA
This is a long non-coding RNA of Lutra lutra (Eurasian river otter), 389 nucleotides long. RefSeq lists it as uncharacterized. Lineage: Eukaryota; Metazoa; Chordata; Mammalia; Carnivora; Mustelidae. The record is from RefSeq and is a predicted model, not a curated record. The transcript is spliced from 4 exons.